UUGACUGUUCAUGGUUAUUGAUGAGAUUGAAGUCAUGUUGCUCAACAAAUGUUAAAAAAAAUUAGACUUUAGAAAAAUGCCGUUUGAAAGGAAUUGGGAAAGUGAAUUAAAUUAGACAACAAGGUGCCAUCUUGCGGUGUAACCAAAACUCUCUUUAGCAGGUGCCUCACAGUAUCGGUCUCAUGGAAUAUGAUUGAAACUCUCAAGCCUUAACCAAUAAACCAUGAACUCGCACAGGAAUGGUUCAUGACUUUUAUAUGGGGUAUUGAUGAGACAAACUUACCGAUGCACCUAUACAACUUUCAGUUUAUGUUUUCUCCUUUCUGUUUCCAUUUUCCAUUUUCCAUAAAAAACUCAGAAAAUUUGUUUGGUUAACGGUUUUCGAAACACAUUUUCAAGGAAUUCUUUUGGAGAAACUCAUUUUUUGUUUUCAAACUCUGAAAACCAUCUGUGCUAAAAAAUGAAUGAGGGACAAAAAUGACAGUGUUUUUGUUUUCAAAACAGUUUC
Molecule: long non-coding RNA, 508 nt
Filed under: Actinidia chinensis (golden kiwifruit)
Lineage: Eukaryota; Viridiplantae; Streptophyta; Magnoliopsida; Ericales; Actinidiaceae
Description: long non-coding RNA (ACHI_LNC000085)
Source: RNAcentral